RNAcentral lists this non-coding RNA (95 nucleotides) under Bacteroides coprosuis. Its description in RNAcentral is "TPP sequence". It matches the Rfam family "TPP riboswitch aptamer (THI element)". Rfam says of the family: Vitamin B(1) in its active form thiamin pyrophosphate (TPP) is an essential coenzyme that is synthesised by coupling of pyrimidine and thiazole moieties in bacteria. The previously detected thiamin-regulatory element, thi box was extended, resulting in a new, highly conserved RNA secondary structure, the THI element, which is widely distributed in eubacteria and also occurs in some archaea. Analysis of operon structures identified a large number of new candidate thiamin-regulated genes, mostly transporters, in various prokaryotic organisms. RNAcentral also lists the same sequence under 1 other name. The record is from RNAcentral. Lineage: Bacteria; Pseudomonadati; Bacteroidota; Bacteroidia; Bacteroidales; Bacteroidaceae.
AUACAACGUUAGGGGUGCUCCAGAUACGGAGCUGAGAUUACACCCUUGAACCUGAGAUGUUUAAUAACAGCGUAGGCAAACGGUAAAACUAAAUU